UACGGAGGGUGCAAGCGUUGUCCGGAUUUAUUGGGUUUAAAGGGUGCGUAGGCGGCUUAUUAAGUCAGUGGUGAAAGCUGGUCGCUUAACGAUCAGAGUGCCAUUGAUACUGGUAAGCUUGAGUGCGGUGGCGGUAGCCGGAAUGGGUGAUGUAGCGGUGAAAUGCAUAGAUAUCAUCAAGAACACCGAUUGCGAAGGCAGCUUACUAGGCUUUAACUGACGCUGAGGCACGAAAGCGUGGGGAGCAAAC
Molecule: ribosomal RNA, 250 nt
Filed under: uncultured Cytophagia bacterium
Lineage: Bacteria; Pseudomonadati; Bacteroidota; Cytophagia
Description: partial 16S ribosomal RNA
Rfam family: Bacterial small subunit ribosomal RNA
Source: RNAcentral